This 472-nucleotide ribosomal RNA is filed under the name uncultured bacterium. Its description in RNAcentral is "bacterial SSU rRNA". It matches the Rfam family "Bacterial small subunit ribosomal RNA", at positions 355 to 825 of the family's 1533-position model. The record is from RNAcentral.
UGGGGAAUAUUGGACAAUGGGCGAAAGCCUGAUCCAGCAAUGCCGCGUGCAGGACGAAGGCCUUCGGGUUGUAAACUGCUUUUGUACGGAACGAAACGGUCCCUUCUAAUAAAGGGGGCUAAUGACGGUACCGUAAGAAUAAGCACCGGCUAACUACGUGCCAGCAGCCGCGGUAAUACGUAGGGUGCGAGCGUUAAUCGGAAUUACUGGGCGUAAAGCGUGCGCAGGCGGUUAUAUAAGACAGAUGUGAAAUCCCCGGGCUCAACCUGGGACCUGCAUUUGUGACUGUAUAGCUAGAGUACGGUAGAGGGGGAUGGAAUUCCGCGUGUAGCAGUGAAAUGCGUAGAUAUGCGGAGGAACACCGAUGGCGAAGGCAAUCCCCUGGACCUGUACUGACGCUCAUGCACGAAAGCGUGGGGAGCAAACAGGAUUAGAUACCCCCGUAGUCCCUGAGCGGGCUGGCAAGGCGCAU